This 864-nucleotide long non-coding RNA is filed under the name Nicotiana benthamiana. RNAcentral's name for it is "long non-coding RNA (NBEN_LNC042200)". Lineage: Eukaryota; Viridiplantae; Streptophyta; Magnoliopsida; Solanales; Solanaceae. The record is from RNAcentral.
GGAGAGAGGUUCAUUCAAUGAAAGAAAGAAAGGCUUAAGCAGAAAAGGAACCAAAUUUUAGAGAGGUGGAUAAAUAAAAAAGAAGCUAAGCAUCCAAGAGUUUGGCCUAGUAAUCGCUGAGAACAAUGAGGUAUCUGAUUUGAAUCCCAGCGGAGGCAAGUAGUCGGUUAUUUCUUCCCAUCUGUAUCUGUGCAAGCCUUAGUGGACAAAAUUACCCAGUACAUUUGUUGAUGGUCGGUAGUAGAUACCUCAUGGAAUUAGUCGAGGUACCCGCAAGCUGGCCCAGACACCACGGAUAUAUAAAAUAAACUAAAGGAAGAUGAGAACUCGGGGAUCACAUUAAAUCAAUUUGAGCUAAAUGAACUAGGCAUGGAGAUUAUAAAGAUAAUUUUUUUGGUCUUUUUGAGUUGUUAACUGAUGAUGAGAGUUUGGAUUGAAGAAGUAUUUUGUUUUUGUCAUUAAGUUUGCUUUUUCUCUGAUAAUUUGUUUGAUAAGUACUUUUUAAUUUGAAUUGGACAAGUUUAAAAUACCUGUCUCUUUAUUAACAGUUUGAAUCUAGAAGUCUAGAACCAAUAACUUUUCCUAUGAUAGCCGUUGUUUUAUCCCAUAUAUUUGUAUUACAGGCUUAAGGGUUCUACUUGUGGUAGCGCGAUGGUGAGAAUGUGGAAUAAUGCUUACAAUAUUGCUAUUCUGCAGCUUAUUUUUGUUAGUGUUUGUAGCAUAUAAAAAACCAGAGUUAACAGUUUGAACCUAGAAGUCUAGAACCAAUAACUUUUCCUAUGAUAGCCGUUGUUUUAUCCCGUAUAUUUGUCUGACAGGCUUAAGGAUUCUACUUGUGGUAGCACGAUGGUGAGAAUGUGGAAU